Tetranychus urticae (two-spotted spider mite) is the source of this 5180-nucleotide non-coding RNA. Lineage: Eukaryota; Metazoa; Arthropoda; Arachnida; Trombidiformes; Tetranychidae. The record is from RefSeq and is a predicted model, not a curated record.
AAUAUUUCUCAUCACAUUUUGAAUGGAGUUACAAAAGCGCAUUAAUUAAUGAAAGCAAAGCAAGAAGGUAAGAAAUAGCAUCACAAUUUGCUUUCAACAAUUCUAAUAUUUCAUUAAGAAUGAAUAAUAUGAAUUGAAAUACAAUAAAAUGUUCAUCUCAGAUGAUAUAAACAAUUGUUUCUUUAGGGAAACUGAUUGUGAAUUCACAAUCAUUGAUCAACAGAUGACGCUCCAAUACUGAAGGUAAGAUAAUCUUUUCAUUUUCCGAUUACCAGCUAACACCAGCCUUCAUCAUCAACAACAAUCCAUGGUUCAGUGAGUUCAUUUUUUUGUUUAAAGGCCCACCUUGUAGAGCACAUUCAGACCUUAAUUCACUAGAAAAAUUUUUCAAGGUUGCUCCAAAUCACAUUGAAUAGCAGUUAAUUGAUGAUGAACAUAUCAAUGCCCAUUUUUUGACACCAUACGAACAGUGAGAAGAUGGAGGGAAAUGCGUUUUAAAGCCGCCAUUUUUCCCUUUACUUGUUCAACAAUUGAUAAAUAAUGGAAAUCAAUUGAUUUAAAUAAGUGAAUAUUUUUAACUUGCAAUUUUCAAACCAUCAGGAUAUAGGCAGAGUGUUUACAAGAUAAGCUCCACGUUUCCAGAAUCAGGUUAUAUCCGUACUUGUGUCGUUAACUUGUUUAAGCUUUGUUCAGUUAUCAAAAACGCACGUUUGUUUACUCAACCAUGUUGAUUAAUUGAAUAACGAAUGAACACCAUAGAGAGUGGAGUCCUUUUUUGCAUAACUUUGAAAUACAAAUAACUUUUGGCCAAGAAAAACAUGGUACAAAUUUAAUCAGGCGACUCGGUAUCAUUAGCUUGGUCUGAGUUUGCAGGAUCAUCAAGACAAUUGUACCAUCAACCGGAACGGUUAUAAAAGUUAAGGUUCAGUAAUUUAAAGGAAUGAAGCUCAAGUCCAUCGGUUGAUAGUUGUUAGGCUACCGAAUACGGGAAUAUUGUUAAGAUAGCCUCUAAUUUUUCAAACUCACUGUCUCGCUUUUUUUUGUAUUUAAAUGCCUUUCCUCCAAUACAAUCCAUAAUCAAGCGAUCCUUAAUUUUACAAAUGCGAUAAAGAAUGUUAAACCAGAAAGAAUUUGAAAAGAAGAAAACAAAAUAACACCAAAAAAAUGUGAAAACAAAAGGUUGAGGUGCAAAAAAGUAGGGAAACAAAAACAAAUUAACAACAGAAUCAAUUGAAUGGAAUAGUUAAGAGGUGAAAUUUACUGUGAAAUGAAUGUUGAAGCGUUUUUAUGACUAGAAAUUAUCGUUUACAUCAAACACGGUUAACAAUAUAACAAAAUAGAGACAAAUAAUAACAACACAUUUGAAUAAUAGUUUUGAAAGUGACAAAAAAAGCCAAAUCAAAAACUUUCUGGUUGUCUCUAUGGAAACAGCAAUUGUCACCGGUUAAUUGUAGCCGUUGGUGUGUUGAAAAAGCGACCAUCAUUAACUAAUUACCUUUUUUUUAUAAUUACUCAUUUCAACUAUUUUCUCUGUCUCCUUUAAACUCUAAUCACCCUUCUAAUAUUUUUACCUGUUUUCGUUUCCCUCUGCUUACCGUUGUUUCUUCCUUCUCCUCCUGCGCUUCCUCUCAUUACUUCCACUACCCCUUGACGUCUCUUCAAUUUGCUUGUUUUAUUAUUAGCACUGUAUCUUUUUUUGUCUUCAAUUUUUUGUCAUCAAUAUCAUCACAAUCUGAGCCUCUCUAAUUUGGUUUGAUUCUGCACCGUUGGCCACGUUAAAUAGACCCUGUUUAUGCUGAUGAUUGGUACUGACUAAAGCAAUAGCAGGAGAAAGUGUAAAGCAGGCAACUGGUUAAGGAUAAUGGCGUCCACAUUGGUAUUUAUUGUAUUGUGUUCACAACAAAAUCAGAAGAGAAAAAAUUACCCUUAUUAUUAUAUUAUUAGUUAGUUUGUUAUUUAAAGAUGCAAUCAGGAUGAUGUUUGGUUAAUUCGUUUCUCUUUAGCUUCUAUGUUUAUUCACUUACAAACCGUCUCGUCCUUCAACUGUUGCUUCAAUAAUCUUGCUUCUACUGUUACUACUGCUUCUUCAGGUUUUCUUCAUUUCUCUUCUUCAGCAUUCUAUCUCAUCCUAUUUCGUUGUUGUUCAAACAAAAGUAAAAAUUCAAGGCUAAUAUUAAUAAUAAUGUAUAAUAAUACAAGAAAAAAAAAUACUGACUGUAUGUUUAUAUGUAUAUGUCUGGUAAGAUUCAAUUUGAUUGUAUUAUUAUUAGCUAAUGACUUACAUGAACGUGAAUAAGCUCAACUCACAGUAACCUCUUUCAACUGUUGCAAGAGAAACGGAGAAAACCAAUUGACGUCUUGACUGAUUCUUAAAUAUGUUACAACUUUGAUUUCUCCAAUUGAACUAGCACCAGCAACAAUAAUUAUGAUGAUGGUGAAAAUAAAGUAAAGGGGAAUGUUUGUGUGUAUCUCACGGAAUUGCUUGGGAAUCCGAUGUGCGCUCAAUCAUCCUGUCAAUCUUUUGUAUUGGCGCCGAUCCAACAAUCAAUGGUCUUUAAAAUGAUUCUUAAGAAGAUGAAAAGAGAUGAAGAUACAUUCCUAAUACAUGUAUUUACCUAUGCCACGAAAAAAAACGCUAAAGACAAAACUUAAGAUUUUCUGGACUCAAGUGGUAAAAGAUCACCAAGCAAGCUGAGAGGCAAUCAAUGAGGAGACCAAGAACGAUGUAAAGAUCAAAAUCUAUGAAGUUUCCUCGAUAGGUUAUCAAGAAAAAGGUUUGGCAAAGAGUAGCGGGAAAAGGUUUGACCAGACAGUGUACUUUGGAUGGUUUAAAAUGAUCAGAUUGAACAAGUUUUUUUUUGUUCAAUAUUACUAUUCUGAAAGCCUUUGGUUGGUUUUGUCGCUACAUGCUGACCAAGGAAAUGAGCUAAAAUGAAGCUUAAAUAAUGCUAGGGGAAAAUAGUAAAUAAAAAAGGUCUGGCCAAUCAUGAAGAAAUUAUUACAGCAAAUCAUGAUCAUCAAAGGCGGUUCAAUCAACAUCCUCAUCUCUAUCUUUAUUAUCAUCUUUCAACUUUUAUCUUCUUCGUGUGGUCAUGGCAAAUUACAAAUUACCAAUCUAAAAGAACACUCACCAAUCAAGUAAACCUGGACAAUAAGGCUAACCACAGUGAAUUGGAAAUACAUUUAAAGGGACACUAUUUUGUACUUAUAUCCAAGCCAUCAUCAUCAUUAUCCUCUGUUGAAAUAAUUCUAAUAAGAGGUUAUUUCUCCGGUUCAUUGGGACUAUCUUCACAAAUAGACAGCAAGAAAAAGAGCAAAAAUCUUCAAGGUUUUUACCUUGAAUAAGUAGUAAAGUGUUCAUCAUCUUUUCAUCAUUCCUCUCUUUCCCCUUUACUCAAUUCUUUACGGAAUAUCGUUUUUUUCUGGUCAAGUCUCGCCUGUAAUUUCGACAUGAAAUGUCCAGCAAUAUCUGAUUAUCUAAAAAUAAUUGCCUACUUUGAUUCAAUAAAUAAGCUGAGGCCUGAAGGAAAACCAAGCAAAUGGAUGGAUAAAUCACUCAAUAAUAAUGGAUGAACCAAUUUGUUUUCAAGAUCAAAAUAAAUUUUGCUUUACGCUUCACAGAAUUGUCUGAGAUGUGCUUUAAUUGGACAAUUUAAAUCAAUUGUAUUAAUAUUUUAUUUAUUUAGAUUUUUAAUUAGCACGUUUCAAUUUGUUAAUUUUCCAAUCGAUAUCUAUAGAUAUCUCUAAUCAAUCGUAAUUUAUGCAUUGCCCCUUUCUUUUCGCAAACUCAUGCUUUAUUUGCUCAACCUGCCAAGUACAUUGUUGCAUUAACUUAAAUUGUUUGUUCAACUUUAAUUUCAAUCAUGAUUAAGUUAAGGUGACAAGUUGAAGUAUAUGAAGAAUACAUGAUUAUCAUAUAAUAUAUAUCGUGCAAUCUUUUUUUUUAUUAUCUUAUUAUGCUUCGUUUCCAUUGACAGCUAAUACAGUCUACAGUGAAAAAAUCAUGAAAUGUGUCUACUGUUGUUGGAUUGUCAAUCCUCUUCAUCCAAAGAAGUUCAAUUCAAUUGAAUCAAGUGGUACAGGAAGAUGAUGAUGGCUAAGAAUAUACUAAACAACAUAUCUCAAUUGAUUCAAUUGAAUUCAGAGUGGAAGCCAAUUGUCACGGAACGAAGUAAAAGUUGAAGAGUUUAUCGGAGAUGUUGUAUAACCUGAUAUUAUUGUUUGGUGAACCUGUUUCUGGUAAUUGUGGUUAGCCCAUUGUCUUCACAUUAGAUUUAAACAUUCAUUGAAUGGCUGGCGAUUAAAAUGACACAUGUUUAUUAUUAAUGUUUAUUAUAACAUGUUUAUUCGCUAUUAAUCACGAUUAAAUGAUUAGUUGAUUGUGAGGUAAGGUGAAAGGAGAGAUCAAAGAAAAGAUGAAUUCAAAAAUGGUUAAUUGUAACAAAAUACUUGUCUUAUACAAUCCAGUUGUACACAAUACUGACCAGAAGAGAUUGGGAAGCAAAUCCAGAUAACAAAAGUCGAUUCUAAUGCACUUGACAUACCAACAAUCAGGUAACAAUUUAACUAUUCAAUUUUACUACUUGUUGGUUAGUCUAUUUCAAUGAUAUUGAACUUGUAAGUUGUCAAUUGUUAAUUGAAUCUAAAUUGAAAAUCAAAUUCAAUUCUGGAGUAAUCAAAAGAAUAAAACAAUUACUCGAUUGAGUAGUUGGCCUAAAAAGAUCCAAACAAUUCCAACUUGAUUAGAUUGACGGGACAACACACACACACACACACACAUUGGAAACACAGGAUUAUCAACUAAAUGUUAUACCAAGUAAAGCUGAACAGUCCAUUCAAAUUGCGCUAAUCAUAAUAAUGAAUCUGGUUUUAGUGAAUUGGUAAUGUUAAUUAUUAAUCAUUCGCUUCGAUUAUAACCUAAAUUAGAUCAAAUUCCUGGCUGGUUGAAACGGAAAAUUAUAAAAGUACAAAAGACAAUAUAAUCAUGGAUGGACCAUUCAAUUAAAUCAGUGAUAAUAAUGCUGUUUGUAAGCCAAACCUUCAAUGUUUCACUGAUCUUCCACUUCGCAUAUUCAAAGAUUCAACCGGUUAAAUGGGACAAUUAAGAUAGCAACAAUAUUUUCGUUGUCAAACUUGUCAAUAAUUGUUAAAUUGUUGAUAAAAUUGAUGUUAAAUUUGGA